Molecule: ribosomal RNA, 894 nt
Filed under: uncultured bacterium
Lineage: Bacteria
Description: bacterial SSU rRNA
Rfam family: Bacterial small subunit ribosomal RNA
Source: RNAcentral
CGCUGGCGGCGUGCGUAACACAUGCAAGUCGAACGGAAUUAAGGGGCUUGCUCCUUAAUUUAGUGGCGCACGGGUGAAUAAUGCCUAGAUGAUCUACCCAAGGAUCCGGGAUAACAUUUCAAACGGGGUGCUAAUACCAGAUAAGCCCACGGAGUCUUCGGACUCUGCGGGAAAAGGGGGGGACCUUCGGGCCUUCUGUCCUCGGAUGAGUCUACAUACCAUUAGCUACUUGGUGGGGUAAAGGCCUACCAAGGCGACGAUGGUUAGCUGGUCUGAGAGGAUGAUCAGCCACACUGGAACUGACACACGGUCCAAACUCCUACGGGAGGCAGCAGUGGGGAAUUUUGCGCAAUGGGGGAAACCCUGAUGCAGCAACGCCGCGUGAGUGAUGAAGGCCUUCGGGUCGAAAAGCUCUGUCAGUGGGAAAGAAAUGUACGAGGGUCAAUACCCCUUGUACUUGACGGUACCCACAAAGGAAGCUCCGGCUAACUCCGUGCCAGCAGCCGUGGUAAUACGGAGGGUGCGAGCGUUGUUCGGAAUUAUUGGGCGUAAAGCGCGUGUAGGCGGCUCCUUAAGUCUGAUGUGAAAGCCCCGGGCUCAACCUGGGAAGUGCAUUGGAAACUGGGGAACUUGAAUACGGGAGAGGGUAGUGGAAUUCCUGGUGUAGGAGUGAAAUCCGUAGAUAUCAGGAGGAACACCGGUGGCGAAGGCGGUUACCUGGACCGAUAUUGACGCUGAGACGCGAAAGCGUGGGGAGCAAACAGGAUUAGAUACCCCGGUAGUCCACGCCGUAAACGAUGAGAACUAGGUGUUGCGGGUAUUGACCCCUGCAGUGCCGCAGCUAACGCAUUAAGUUCUCCGCCUGGGAAGUACCGUCGCAGGACUAAAACUCAA